This is a non-coding RNA of Danio rerio (zebrafish), 115 nucleotides long. The record is from Rfam. Lineage: Eukaryota; Metazoa; Chordata; Actinopteri; Cypriniformes; Danionidae.
UGCGGCAGCUAGCUCUCUGCAUCUCUCACAUGGUCGCCCACUGAAGCUAAGCAGGGCUGCGCCCGGUCAGUACCUGGAUGGGAGACCACAUGGGAAAGCUAGGUUGCUGCCGGAA